AACGCGAAGAACCUUACCUGGAUUUGACAUCCUCUGACAUCCGUAGAAAUACGGCUUUGUAGCAAUACACAGAGAGACAGGUGCUGCAUGGCUGUCGUCAGCUCGUGUUGUGAAAUGUUGGGUUAAGUCCCGCAACGAGCGCAACCCCUGGGGUUAGUUGCCAGCAUUAAGUUGGGCACUCUAAUCUGACUGCCAGCGUUAAGCUGGAGGAAGGUGGGGACGACGUCAAGUCCUCAUGGCCCUUACAUCCAGGGCUACACACGUAAUACAAUGAGCAGGACAAAGGGUUGCCAACCCGCGAGGGGGAGCUAAUCUCAAAAACCUGCUCUCAGUUGGGAUUGGAGGCUGCAAUUCGCCUCCAUGAACGCGGAAUCGCUAGUAAUCGUGGAUCAGAACGCCACGGUGAAUACGUUCCCGGGCCUUGUACCACCGCGAGC
This 437-nucleotide ribosomal RNA is filed under the name uncultured bacterium. RNAcentral's name for it is "bacterial SSU rRNA". It matches the Rfam family "Bacterial small subunit ribosomal RNA", at positions 958 to 1386 of the family's 1533-position model. The record is from RNAcentral.